This 253-nucleotide ribosomal RNA is filed under the name uncultured bacterium. RNAcentral's name for it is "partial 16S ribosomal RNA". It matches the Rfam family "Bacterial small subunit ribosomal RNA", at positions 524 to 776 of the family's 1533-position model. The record is from RNAcentral.
GACGGAGGAUGCAAGUGUUAUCCGGAAUCACUGGGCGUAAAGCGUCUGUAGGUGGUCAAAUAAGUCAACUGUUAAAUCUUGAGGCUCAACCUCAAAAUCGCAGUCGAAACUAUUUGACUAGAGUAUAGUAGGGGUAAAGGGAAUUUCCAGUGGAGCGGUGAAAUGCGUAGAGAUUGGAAAGAACACCGAUGGCGAAGGCACUUUACUGGGCUAUUACUAACACUGAGAGACGAAAGCUAGGGUAGCAAAUGGG